RNAcentral lists this ribosomal RNA (583 nucleotides) under uncultured bacterium. Its description in RNAcentral is "bacterial SSU rRNA". It matches the Rfam family "Bacterial small subunit ribosomal RNA", at positions 94 to 672 of the family's 1533-position model. The record is from RNAcentral.
AGCGGCGGACGGGUGAGUAAUGCGUAGGAAGCUGCCCGAUAGAGGGGGAUACCAGUUGGAAACGACUGUUAAUACCGCAUAAUGUCUACGGACCAAAGUAUGGGACCUUCGGGCCAUAUGCUAUCGGAUGCGCCUACGUGGGAUUAGCUAGUUGGUGUGGUAAUGGCGCACCAAGGCGACGAUCCCUAGCUGGUUUGAGAGGAUGAUCAGCCACACUGGGACUGAGACACGGCCCAGACUCCUACGGGAGGCAGCAGUGGGGAAUAUUGGACAAUGGGCGCAAGCCUGAUCCAGCCAUGCCGCGUGUGUGAAGAAGGCCUUCGGGUUGUAAAGCACUUUCAGCGAGGAGGAAGGGGUGUGUGUUAAUAGCACAUAUCUUUGACGUUACUCGCAGAAGAAGCACCGGCUAACUCCGUGCCAGCAGCCGCGGUAAUACGGAGGGUGCAAGCGCUAAUCGGAAUUACUGGGCGUAAAGCGCACGCAGGCGGCUUUUUAAGUCGGAUGUGAAAGCCCCGGGCUCAACCUGGGAAUUGCAUUCGAUACUGGAAGGCUAGAGUAUGUGAGAGGGGGGGUAGAAUUCCAG